AAAGUCCUGAGGUGCACGUUAUUUAACCUAUUAGUUUUGACCGAACAUAUUAACUAGGGGAGCUUGGAGUUUUCUAGUUACGUACAUGCCUCAAUCGGAAGCUGGCAUUUCGCCGCCCGGAGGAAGUACAAUGGCCUGAAAUAGAGCACCCACCUGCUUUAAGCGGGUUCAAAACAAAGGCCGAGUAACGACACAAACGGGACUUUC
RNAcentral lists this non-coding RNA (207 nucleotides) under Caryophanales bacterium. RNAcentral describes it as "Bacillales bacterium (anaerobic digester metagenome) 6S RNA". It matches the Rfam family "6S / SsrS RNA". From Rfam's summary of the family: E. coli 6S RNA was the first non coding RNA to be sequenced, but its function was unknown until recently. It consists of 184 nucleotides that fold into an extended hairpin structure with a large single-stranded internal bulge. The 6S RNA specifically associates with RNA polymerase holoenzyme containing the sigma70 specificity factor. The record is from RNAcentral. Lineage: Bacteria; Bacillati; Bacillota; Bacilli; Caryophanales.